AUUGAACGCUGGCGGCAUGCCUUACACAUGCAAGUCGGACGAGUGGCGGACGGGUGAGUAAUAUAUGGGAACGUGCCGAGUGGUGGGGGAUAACUAAUCGAAAGAGUAGCUAAUACCGCAUACUAUUCGAGCGGCCGAUAUGGGAUUAGCUUGUUGGUGGGGUAAAGGCCCACCAAGGCGACGAUCCUUAGCGGGUCUGAGAGGAUGACCAGCCACACUGGAACUGAGACACGGCCCAGACUCCUACGGGAGGCAGCAGUGGGGAAUAUUGCACAAUGGGCGCAAGCCUGAUCCAGCCAUGCCGCGUGUCUGAAGAAGGCCUUCGGGUUGUAAAGGACUUUUGUCAGGGAGGCGGUACCUGAAGAAUAAGCACCGGCUAACUCCGUGCCAGCAGCCGCGGUAAUAC
RNAcentral lists this ribosomal RNA (406 nucleotides) under uncultured bacterium. Its description in RNAcentral is "partial 16S ribosomal RNA". It matches the Rfam family "Bacterial small subunit ribosomal RNA", at positions 30 to 526 of the family's 1533-position model. The record is from RNAcentral.